Carlito syrichta (Philippine tarsier) is the source of this 661-nucleotide long non-coding RNA. RefSeq lists it as uncharacterized. The record is from RefSeq and is a predicted model, not a curated record. NCBI's taxonomy places the organism in Eukaryota, Metazoa, Chordata, Mammalia, Primates, Tarsiidae. The transcript is spliced from 2 exons.
CCUCCACAGACGGGCAGCUGAGUGGACUCCAGGGCAGCCUUCCCUCUGCAGCCUUUGUGCCCAUCACCAGCUCCACAGAUCCUGCUCCCACUAAGAGAUGAACCCCAGCCGCGCAGAAGAAGAGCUGCUCACCGGCCCUGAGUGCGACUGAGGGCCAAGCAUCCUCCCACACUGUAGGGGUCCCCAAAGCCCUGACAAGUGGGUUGCCCAUCAGCCAAUCCCGACGUUCCCUGGGACAGCAGGACAGCAGACCCUCCGGGUUUUGACGGAUCGGCAGUGGGCACAUCGGGCUGGAGGGUCUGUCCCGUUGGCACUCGUGUGUGUGUCUGCGCCUUCCCUUGACCCCACCCCCCCGCUCAGGCCCUUCUGAACCUUCCUGCUACUGCACAGAGAUGAUAUAAAGAGGCUCUUUGGCUAUUUGCAUUCGGCUUCCUCUUCUUUUCCAGACUGCAGCAUGAAGCUUUAUUUUCUUUGUGCAAGCUUAAAAUCCCAACCACAUUACCUACCUGCAUUGCUCCGCCCUCAUCCGAGGGCCAGGGAAAGGAGGGCACCUGUCACAGGCUUCCCAGAGAGGAGACGUGUGCCACAGACAACACGGCCAGGGUAAAGGCUCACUGUGAAAUUACUGAUUUCUAAGAUUAAUAAAGUAAUUCUGUUUUUA